CAGUCGAGCGGAGAUAGUGGAGCUUGCUCCAUUAUCUUAGCGGCGGACGGGUGAGUAACACGUGGGCAACCUGCCCUGCAGAUCGGGAUAACUCCGGGAAACCGGUGCUAAUACCGAAUAGUUUGCGGCCUCUCAUGAGGCUGCACGGAAAGACGGUUUCGGCUGUCACUGCAGGAUGGGCCCGCGGCGCAUUAGCUAGUUGGUGAGGUAACGGCUCACCAAGGCCACGAUGCGUAGCCGACCUGAGAGGGUGAUCGGCCACACUGGGACUGAGACACGGCCCAGACUCCUACGGGAGGCAGCAGUAGGGAAUCUUCCGCAAUGGACGAAAGUCUGACGGAGCAACGCCGCGUGAGUGAAGAAGGUUUUCGGAUCGUAAAACUCUGUUGUGAGGGAAGAACAAGUACCAACUAACUACUGGUACCUUGACGGUACCUCACCAGAAAGCCACGGCUAACUACGUGCCAGCAGCCGCGGUAAUACGUAGGUGGCAAGCGUUGUCCGGAAUUAUUGGGCGUAAAGCGCGCGCAGGCGGUCCUUUAAGUCUGAUGUGAAAGCCCACGGCUCAACCGUGGAGGGUCAUUGGAAACUGGGGGGACUUGAGUGCAGAAGAGGAAAGUGGAAUUCCACGUGUAGCGGUGAAAUGCGU
RNAcentral lists this ribosomal RNA (649 nucleotides) under bacterium 32-L049393-122-001-H04. Its description in RNAcentral is "bacterial SSU rRNA". It matches the Rfam family "Bacterial small subunit ribosomal RNA", at positions 59 to 691 of the family's 1533-position model. The record is from RNAcentral.